GACGUAGGGCGCGAGCGUUGUCCGGAUUUAUUGGGCGUAAAGAGCUCGUAGGCGGCUUGUUGCGUCGGCUGUGAAAACCCGCGGCUUAACCGUGGGCUUGCAGCCGAUACGGGCAGGCUAGAGUUCGGUAGGGGAGACUGGAAUUCCUGGUGUAGCGGUGAAAUGCGCAGAUAUCAGGAGGAACACCGGUGGCGAAGGCAGCUGCCUGGCCUAGAACUGACGCUGAGGUGCGAAAGCGUGGGGAGCGAACGGG
RNAcentral lists this ribosomal RNA (253 nucleotides) under uncultured bacterium. RNAcentral describes it as "partial 16S ribosomal RNA". It matches the Rfam family "Bacterial small subunit ribosomal RNA", at positions 524 to 776 of the family's 1533-position model. The record is from RNAcentral.